This 392-nucleotide ribosomal RNA is filed under the name uncultured bacterium. RNAcentral's name for it is "partial 16S ribosomal RNA". It matches the Rfam family "Bacterial small subunit ribosomal RNA", at positions 330 to 720 of the family's 1533-position model. The record is from RNAcentral.
CCCAGACUCCUACGGGAGGCAGCAGUGAGGAAUAUUGGUCAAUGGGGGAGAUCCUGAACCAGCCAAGCCGCGUGAGGGAAGACGGCCCUAUGGGUUGUAAACCUCUUUUGUCGGAGAACAAAACCCGGGACGAGUCCCGGACUGCGUGUAUCCGAAGAAAAAGCAUCGGCUAACUCCGUGCCAGCAGCCGCGGUAAUACGGAGGAUGCGAGCGUUAUCCGGAUUUAUUGGGUUUAAAGGGUGCGCAGGCGGCCCGGCAGGCCGGCGGUAAAACCGCGGGGCUAACCCCCGCCAAGCCGUCGGACCUGCCGGGCUAGAGUGGGCGAGAAGUGCGCGGAAUGCGUGGUGUAGCGGUGAAAUGCAUAGAUAUCCCGCAGAACUCCGAUUGCGAAG